AAUAAAAAGUCCCCCUCACAGCCUUUAUAUUGAUUGGAGAAGUCGAGCACUAGUGGCGGCUUCAAAAGGAUAUCUUGCCAUCCCCUACUACCUGGGAAGUUUUUAUAGAUGCUUUCUUUGAGAACUUCUUCCCUGUAUAUGUUCGUGAGAAGAAAGAGGAGGAAUUUCAGGACCUCUGCCAAGGGAAUAUGAUAGAUACCCAAUAUACAGUCCAUUUAUACAAUUGUCUAAGUUUAUCCAUUUGAUGGUUACCCUAAAGAGUCGCAAGGCCAGAAAAUUUUUGAAGGGCAUUCAUGCAGAUAUCUACGAUAGG
This 313-nucleotide long non-coding RNA is filed under the name Carica papaya (papaya). RNAcentral's name for it is "long non-coding RNA (CPAP_LNC011863)". The record is from RNAcentral. Lineage: Eukaryota; Viridiplantae; Streptophyta; Magnoliopsida; Brassicales; Caricaceae.